CUUCACCGAGCCGAGCCACAGCGGGUCCGCACGGUCCUGGCCGUACGUGGCCAGCAGCGCCUGCGCCUC
Micromonospora echinofusca is the source of this 69-nucleotide non-coding RNA. It matches the Rfam family "ASpks TB sRNA". NCBI's taxonomy places the organism in Bacteria, Bacillati, Actinomycetota, Actinomycetes, Micromonosporales, Micromonosporaceae. The record is from Rfam.